RNAcentral lists this unclassified non-coding RNA (209 nucleotides) under uncultured Filobasidiella. RNAcentral describes it as "sequence contains ITS1". The stretch from base 1 to 105 matches the Rfam family "5.8S ribosomal RNA", at positions 50 to 154 of the family's 154-position model. From Rfam's summary of the family: 5.8S ribosomal RNA (5.8S rRNA) is a component of the large subunit of the eukaryotic ribosome. It is transcribed by RNA polymerase I as part of the 45S precursor that also contains 18S and 28S rRNA. Lineage: Eukaryota; Fungi; Basidiomycota; Tremellomycetes; Tremellales; Tremellaceae. The record is from RNAcentral.
GAAAUGCGAUACGUAAUGUGAAUUGCAGAAUUCAGUGAAUCAUCGAAUCUUUGAACGCACCUUGCACCCUUUGGUAUUCCGAAGGGUAUGCCUGUUUGAGUGUCAUGAAUACCUCAACCCCUAAUAGUUUUAUUACGAAAGGCGUGUUGGUCUUGCCCAUUUAUCUCAAGGUUGACCUCGGAUCAGGUAGGAAUACCCGCUGAACUUAA